AAUUUUUAAUAUUCAAAAAAAAAAAAAAAAAAAAAAAAAAUAUAUCCUCUUCCUUCUCUCUUAAAAACAAAAGCACCGCUUCAAUUCCGCCGGCGUUGUGAGCCACCACGGUCAUGACGUCGGUUUGGCUUUUUGGUUUAUGUUCAGUUAUGUCUCUUUAAGUUGUGGUUAAGGAGAUUUCUGGGUUGGUUUCGAUUUCGUUUCCUCCUCAAUUUCUCUUAUUAGAUCUAUAGUUUCGAUUGGUGAUUUUGCAAAUUAGCGUGGUUUUCUUCUCUGACUAAAUACUCCCUGGCCUAAUCACGAUCGCUCUAUGCCACUCACUGUCGGUGUUGUGGUGAUUCGGGUUGGGUGACCUAAUUUUGGGUUUCCUCACACAGCUUCAACAAUACGGAUCUAGGGCGAAAUCCGCCCAGAUUUUGGGUUCUUUCUACCGGUUCAAGUCGCAUAGUCGAUAUCUCCGGCCACGGCGUUCUCGACGGUCUCUGCAUGUUUAGCUGAGUUUCCACCGUCUGCCAUCCAAAGUAUCCCAAGGUUUUUCUUCUGAAGAUUUUUAAUUAUCAAGUAAGGCAAGAAGAUCAAAUUUUCUUAAAGUGGGUGUCUCAAUCUCCGACGAAAUCUCCGAUGCCAGUUAAUUUUCGAUCUUGGUUUAUUUGGUUAAAGAGAGAACUAUGUUUAUGUGUAAAAUCAUCAAUCAUGUUUUAUUUUGUCUUUCUACGUCGUUUCCCCAUGUCGGGGCUUAGUGUCGGGGUUUCAUUCCUCGCCGGCUUGUGUACCGGAGGAUUAUAUCCUGCCGGCUUUGUCGUCCCGUAAUUCACUCGGGUUUAUGUAUCUGAUAUGGUUUGUGCUGAUAAUAAAAUUAGCUUUG
Molecule: small RNA, 865 nt
Filed under: Arabidopsis thaliana (thale cress)
Lineage: Eukaryota; Viridiplantae; Streptophyta; Magnoliopsida; Brassicales; Brassicaceae
Description: ncRNA (AT3G54366)
Source: RNAcentral